GGGUAAGGCUCUGUGGUAGAGCAUGUGCCCAGCAUGCUUGAGGUCCUGAGUUCAAUCCCCAGAGCCA
RNAcentral lists this transfer RNA (67 nucleotides) under Marmota monax (woodchuck). RNAcentral describes it as "tRNA.Ala". The record is from RNAcentral. Lineage: Eukaryota; Metazoa; Chordata; Mammalia; Rodentia; Sciuridae.